Molecule: ribosomal RNA, 499 nt
Filed under: uncultured bacterium
Lineage: Bacteria
Description: partial 16S ribosomal RNA
Rfam family: Bacterial small subunit ribosomal RNA
Source: RNAcentral
GACGAACGCUGGCGGCGUGCCUAAUACAUGCAAGUCGAGCGAAGUUUUUCUGGUGCUUGCACCGGAAAAACUUAGCGGCGAACGGGUGAGUAACACGUAAAGAACCUGCCUCAUAGACUGGGACAACUAUUGGAAACGAUAACUAAUACCGGAUAACAGCAUUAACUGCAUGGUUGAUGUUUAAAAGUUGGUUUUGCUAACACUAUGAGAUGGCUUUGCGGUGCAUUAGCUAGUUGGUGGGGUAAAGGCCUACCAAGGCGACGAUGCAUAGCCGACCUGAGAGGGUGAUCGGCCACACUGGGACUGAGACACGGCCCAGACUCCUACGGGAGGCAGCAGUAGGGAAUCUUCCGCAAUGGGCGAAAGCCUGACGGAGCAACGCCGCGUGAGUGAAGAAGGAUUUCGGUUCGUAAAGCUCUGUUGUUAGGGAAGAAUGAUUGUGUAGUAACUAUACACAGUAGAGACGGUACCUAACCAGAAAGCCACGGCUAACUACGUG